Long non-coding RNA from Hippocampus comes (tiger tail seahorse), 588 nucleotides. RefSeq lists it as uncharacterized. The record is from RefSeq and is a predicted model, not a curated record. The transcript has 2 exons. Lineage: Eukaryota; Metazoa; Chordata; Actinopteri; Syngnathiformes; Syngnathidae.
CAGUACGGGGACGAAUGCUGAAUAUGAUUAAAAAUUCAUUUUCACGGUGCACUUUUCAAGGAAAACUGGACUUUAAGGCAACAGUGUUGCUGGCUGAGUGGUUUCUCAACACGAAAAACAAAUUUUUGGACACUUUCAGAGUGGCACGUAUGUGCGCUACUGCUAGCAAAACAGACAAGCUGGAGGUCUGCAUCAGCAUCUGUGACAUGCUGCCGACACCUCGCCCAACCGGGAAACGCCGUCACGCCAUCCGAAGAUCGCCGCGUUCCUGUCCCAAAGGCAUGAAUGAGUGGAGAAUAAAAAUAUGAAUCAACAGGAAGGUCAUGGUUUAAAGAAAUCGAAGGUGAGCGGGAAAUCUUGCUACCUUCGACCUCAUCACUCACAAUGUCCUCGGGGAGGACAGACAUUGGGCUGGGCCGUACGGCCAUCUUAUAUUCUUCCACAAAAAAUAAGAUUUAAAGAAAAAAGGAGUGUCGCAGAUAUAACCAGCAGAUAUGCAAGAAAGUUACUUUUACCAACUAUAUUUGAGGGGUACGUGGCUGUGUUUUGAGUCAUUCCACAGAAAUGCUGUUUUUGAGGAUAUUUUCC